RNAcentral lists this ribosomal RNA (380 nucleotides) under Staphylococcus aureus. RNAcentral's name for it is "bacterial SSU rRNA". It matches the Rfam family "Bacterial small subunit ribosomal RNA", at positions 1 to 370 of the family's 1533-position model. Lineage: Bacteria; Bacillati; Bacillota; Bacilli; Caryophanales; Staphylococcaceae. The record is from RNAcentral.
UUUAUGGAGAGUUUGAUCCUGGCUCAGGAUGAACGCUGGCGGCGUGCCUAAUACAUGCAAGUCGAGCGAACGGACGAGAAGCUUGCUUCUCUGAUGUUAGCGGCGGACGGGUGAGUAACACGUGGAUAACCUACCUAUAAGACUGGGAUAACUUCGGGAAACCGGAGCUAAUACCGGAUAAUAUUUUAAACCGCAUGGUUCAAAAGUGAAAGACGGUCUUGCUGUCACUUAUAGAUGGAUCCGCGCUGCAUUAGCUAGUUGGUAAGGUAACGGCUUACCAAGGCAACGAUGCAUAGCCGACCUGAGAGGGUGAUCGGCCACACUGGAACUGAGACACGGUCCAGACUCCUACGGGAGGCAGCAGUAGGGAAUCUUCCGCA